AUUGAACGCUGGCGGCAGGCCUAACACAUGCAAGUCGAACGAGUGGCGGACGGGUGAGUAAUGUCUGGGAACCUGCCUGAUGGAGGGGGAUAACUACUGGAAAAGGUAGCUAAUACCGCAUACCAUCAGAUGUGCCCAGAUUGGAUUAGCUAGUUGGUGGGGUAACGGCUCACCAAGGCGACGAUCCCUAGCUGGUCUGAGAGGAUGACCAGCCACACUGGAACUUAGACACGGUCCAGACUCCUACGGGAGGCAGCAGUGGGGAAUAUUGGACAAUGGGCGCAAGCCUGAUCCAGCCAUGCCGCGUGUGUGAAGAAGGCCUUCGGGUUGUAAAGUACUUUCGGCAGGGAGGCGUUACCCGCCGAAGAAGCACCGGCUAACUCCGUGCCAGCAGCCGCGGUAAUAC
Molecule: ribosomal RNA, 406 nt
Filed under: uncultured bacterium
Lineage: Bacteria
Description: partial 16S ribosomal RNA
Rfam family: Bacterial small subunit ribosomal RNA
Source: RNAcentral